AUGCCAGACUCAUCUCUGAUAGCAGACAUGGGUAGUUGUAAAUUAGAAGGGGAGGACAUAGAAGCCGAUGGCGUGGAGGUAGUCUCCGGCGCGGCCGAACAUGCCGACGACGCUGCCGUUGUUGAGCACGGGCAGGCUGUAGUGCGUGCUGUCCACCGCGUGCCCGAACGGGCCGUAGGUGGCCUGGUUGGUCACAAACUUGAUGGAGGUGAUGCAGUGCUCGAUCUCCUUGAGCUUGAACGGACCCACCGACCAGUCGACUUGAGUUAUGUACUCCGACGGCCCCAGGGUGAUCUGCACGACGUACAUACAUACAAGUAUGUGUAUCAGACCAAGAAAAGAAACAGGAGUGACAAGAAGUGCCCUGGAUCGCUCGCUCACCGUGUCCGGGUCUUCCUUUUCCCCUCCGGCGCCGCCCCAGGGCCCGGCGGUGUGCAGCUGCUUGUCCUUGUCCAUGUAGGUGAAGCCGACGGAGUCGAGGACCUUGCCCCAGCGGAUGGUGAUGCUCUCCAGCCGUUGCGGCGCCACCGUGAUGUCGUGGGCGACCCCGUCAUCGCCGCCCCACGUCCCCAGCUUCACCACCGGGCUCGGGCUCUGGCUCUGGCUCUGCACGCACAUACAAAACGACCAGCCGCCAUGAGUCCUCCUGUGAAGAUAGAUAGCACAGCAUGGAGCUUGCUUUUUUAUCUUUAA
RNAcentral lists this ribosomal RNA (693 nucleotides) under Triticum aestivum (bread wheat). RNAcentral's name for it is "partial small subunit ribosomal RNA". The record is from RNAcentral. Lineage: Eukaryota; Viridiplantae; Streptophyta; Magnoliopsida; Poales; Poaceae.